Molecule: ribosomal RNA, 293 nt
Filed under: uncultured bacterium
Lineage: Bacteria
Description: partial 16S ribosomal RNA
Rfam family: Bacterial small subunit ribosomal RNA
Source: RNAcentral
GUGUCAGCCGCCGCGGUAAUACGGAGGGGGCUAGCGUUGUUCGGAAUUACUGGGCGUAAAGGGCGCGUAGGCGGUGCGGUAAGUUAGGCGUGAAAGGCCCGGGCUCAACCCGGGAACUGCGCUUAAGACUGCCGCGCUGUGAGUCCGGGAGAGGAUGGCGGAAUUCCCAGUGUAGAGGUGAAAUUCGUAGAUAUUGGGAAGAACACCAGUGGCGAAGGCGGCCAUCUGGCCCGGUACUGACGCUGAGGCGCGAAAGCGUGGGGAGCAAACAGGAUUAGAUACCCCCGUAGUCC